AACGAACGCUGGCGGCAUGCCUAAUACAUACAAGUCGAACGAGAUCUUCGGAUCUAGUGGCGCACGGGUGCGUAACGCGUGGGAAUCUGCCCUUGGGUUCGGAAUAACGUCGGGAAACUGACGCUAAUACCGGAUGAUGACGUAAGUCCAAAGAUUUAUCGCCCAAGGAUGAGCCCGCGUAGGAUUAGCUAGUUGGUGAGGUAAAGGCUCACCAAGGCGACGAUCCUUAGCUGGUCUGAGAGGAUGAUCAGCCACACUGGGACUGAGACACGGCCCAGACUCCUACGGGAGGCAGCAGUAGGGAAUAUUGGACAAUGGGCGCAAGCCUGAUCCAGCAAUGCCGCGUGAGUGAUGAAGGUCUUAGGGUUGUAAAGCUCUUUUACCCGGGAUGAUAAUGACAGUACCGGGAGAAUAAGCCCCGGCUAACUCCGUGCCAGCCGCCGCUGUAA
RNAcentral lists this ribosomal RNA (449 nucleotides) under uncultured bacterium. RNAcentral's name for it is "partial 16S ribosomal RNA". It matches the Rfam family "Bacterial small subunit ribosomal RNA", at positions 29 to 523 of the family's 1533-position model. The record is from RNAcentral.